GUCCAGAUGGCGGAAUUGGUAGACGCGCACGCUUGAGGGGCGUGUGAGCAUUAUGCUCGUGCGGGUUCAACUCCCGCUCUGGGCACCA
Molecule: transfer RNA, 88 nt
Filed under: Patescibacteria group bacterium
Lineage: Bacteria
Description: tRNA-Leu
Rfam family: tRNA
About the family: Transfer RNA (tRNA) molecules are approximately 80 nucleotides in length. Their secondary structure includes four short double-helical elements and three loops (D, anti-codon, and T loops).
Source: RNAcentral